This 585-nucleotide ribosomal RNA is filed under the name Aspergillus pseudoglaucus. Its description in RNAcentral is "eukaryotic LSU rRNA". The stretch from base 175 to 328 matches the Rfam family "5.8S ribosomal RNA". The record is from RNAcentral. Lineage: Eukaryota; Fungi; Ascomycota; Eurotiomycetes; Eurotiales; Aspergillaceae.
UCCGUAGGUGAACCUGCGGAAGGAUCAUUACCGAGUGCGGGGCCCUCUGGGUCCAACCUCCCAUCCGUGUCUAUCUGUACCCUGUUGCUUCGGCGUGGCCACGGCCCGCCGAAGACUAACAUUUGAACACUGUCUGAAGUUUGCAGUCUGAGUUUUUAGUUAAACAAUAAUUAAAACUUUCAACAACGGAUCUCUUGGUUCCGGCAUCGAUGAAGAACGCAGCGAAAUGCGAUAAUUAAUGUGAAUUGCAGAAUUCAGUGAAUCAUCGAGUCUUUGAACGCACAUUGCGCCCCCUGGUAUUCCGGGGGGCAUGCCUGUCCGAGCGUCAUUGCUGCCCUCAAGCACGGCUUGUGUGUUGGGCUUCCGUCCCUGGUAACGGGGACGGGCCCAAAAGGCAGUGGCGGCACCAUGUCUGGUCCUCGAGCGUAUGGGGCUUUGUCACCCGCUACCCGUAGGUCCAAGCUGGCAGCGUACCCUCGCAAACCAAUCUUUUUAACCCAGGUUGACCUCGGAUCCAGGUAGGGAUACCCGCUGAACUUAAGCAUAUCAAUAAGCGGAGGAAAAGAAACCAACAGGGAUUGCCUC